GGACGGGUGAGUAAUGUCUGGGGAUCUGCCCGAUAGAGGGGGAUAACCACUGGAAACGGUGGCUAAUACCGCAUAACGUCGCAAGACCAAAGAGGGGGACCUUCGGGCCUCUCACUAUCGGAUGAACCCCCAUGGGAUUAGCUAGUAGGCGGGGUAAUGGCCCCCCUAGGCGACAAUCCCUAGCUGGUCUGAGAGGAUGACCAGCCACACUGGAACUGAGACACGGUCCAGACUCCUACGGGAGGCAGCAGUGGGGAAUAUUGCACAAUGGGCGCAAGCCUGAUGCAGCCAUGCCGCGUGUAUGAAAAAAGCCUUCUGGUUGUAAAGUACUUUCUGCGGGGAGGAAGGCGACGGGGUUAAUAACCCUGUCGAUUGACGUUACCCGCAGAAAAAACACCGGCUAACUCCGUGCCAGCAGCCGCGGUAAUACGGAGGGUGCAAGCGUUAAUCGGAAUUACUGGGCGUAAAGCGCACGCACGCGGUCUGUUAAGUCACAUGUGAAAUCCCCGGGCUUAACCUGGGAACUGCAUUUGAAACUGGCAGGCUUGAGUCUUGUAGAGGGGGGUAGAAUUCCAGGUGUAGCGGUGAAAUGCGUAGAGAUCUGGAGGAAUACCGGUGGCGAAGGCGGCCCCCUGGACAAAGACUGACGCUCAGGUGCGAAAGCGUG
RNAcentral lists this ribosomal RNA (667 nucleotides) under Pantoea agglomerans. RNAcentral's name for it is "bacterial SSU rRNA". It matches the Rfam family "Bacterial small subunit ribosomal RNA", at positions 100 to 763 of the family's 1533-position model. Lineage: Bacteria; Pseudomonadati; Pseudomonadota; Gammaproteobacteria; Enterobacterales; Erwiniaceae. The record is from RNAcentral.